UGAAGGCUAUCCUUUGACGUUAGCGGCGGACGGGUGAGUAACACGUGGGCAACCUACCUUAUAGUUUGGGAUAACUCCGGGAAACCGGGGCUAAUACCGAAUAAUCUGUUUCACCUCAUGGUGAAAUAUUGAAAGACGGUUUCGGCUGUCGCUAUAGGAUGGGCCCGCGGCGCAUUAGCUAGUUGGUGAGGUAACGGCUCACCAAGGCGACGAUGCGUAGCCGACCUGAGAGGGUGAUCGGCCACACUGGGACUGAGACACGGCCCAGACUCCUACGGGAGGCAGCAGUAGGGAAUCUUCCACAAUGGGCGAAAGCCUGAUGGAGCAACGCCGCGUGAGUGAAGAAGGAUUUCGGUUCGUAAAACUCUGUUGUAAGGGAAGAACAAGUACAGUAGUAACUGGCUGUACCUUGACGGUACCUUAUUAGAAAGCCACGGCUAACUACGUGCCAGCAGCCGCGGUAAUACGUAGGUGGCAAGCGUUGUCCGGAAUUAUUGGGCGUAAAGCGCGCGCAGGUGGUUUCUUUAAGUCUGAUGUGAAAGCCCACGGCUCAACCGUGGGAGGGUCAUUGGAAAACUGGGGAACUUGAGUGCAGAAGAGAAGUGGAAUUCUGUAGCGGUGAAAUGCGUAAGAUUUUAGAACACCAGUGGCAGCGACUAUCUGGCUGUAACUGACUGAGCGAAGCGUGGGGCAAAUUAAUACCCGGUAGCCGAAAGUGUUUUUCCUGUCUUCCCUGGGGGG
Molecule: ribosomal RNA, 741 nt
Filed under: Lysinibacillus sphaericus
Lineage: Bacteria; Bacillati; Bacillota; Bacilli; Caryophanales; Bacillaceae
Description: bacterial SSU rRNA
Rfam family: Bacterial small subunit ribosomal RNA
Source: RNAcentral